Molecule: ribosomal RNA, 481 nt
Filed under: uncultured bacterium
Lineage: Bacteria
Description: bacterial SSU rRNA
Rfam family: Bacterial small subunit ribosomal RNA
Source: RNAcentral
GAUGAACGCUGGCGGCGUGCUUAACACAUGCAAGUCGAACGAAGAUGCCGGAGUGCUUGCACUUUGGCAGACUGAGUGGCGGACGGGUGAGUAACGCGUGGGUAACCUGCCUUAUACAGGGGGAUAACAGUUGGAAACGACUGCUAAUACCGCAUAAGCGCACGGUAUCGCAUGAUACAGUGUGAAAAACUCCGGUGGUAUAAGAUGGACCCGCGUCUGAUUAGCUUGUUGGUGAGGUAACGGCCCACCAAGGCGACGAUCAGUAGCCGGCCUGAGAGGGUGAACGGCCACAUUGGGACUGAGACACGGCCCAAAACUCCUACGGGAGGCAGCAGUGGGGAAUAUUGCACAAUGGGGGAAACCCGUGAUGCAGCGACGCCGCGUGAGUGAUGAAGUAUUUCGGUAUGUAAAAACUACUAUCAGCAGGAAGAUAAUGACGGUACCGUGACGUAAGAAAGACACCGGCUAAAUAACGUGCCAG